RNAcentral lists this non-coding RNA (27 nucleotides) under Mus musculus (house mouse). Lineage: Eukaryota; Metazoa; Chordata; Mammalia; Rodentia; Muridae. The record is from RNAcentral.
UGGUCUCCUUUGAGCUCUUCCUGGCCA